This 540-nucleotide ribosomal RNA is filed under the name uncultured bacterium. RNAcentral describes it as "bacterial SSU rRNA". It matches the Rfam family "Bacterial small subunit ribosomal RNA", at positions 777 to 1329 of the family's 1533-position model. The record is from RNAcentral.
AAUAGAUACCCUGGUAGUCCACGCCGUAAACGAUGGAUACUAGCUGUUGGAGGUAUCGACCCCUUCAGUAGCGAAGCUAACGCGUUAAGUAUCCCGCCUGUGGAGUACGGUCGCAAGACUAAAACAUAAAGGAAUUGACGGGGACCCGCACAAGCGGUGGAGCGUGUUCUUUAAUUCGAUGAUAAACGGAGAACCUUACCAGGGCUUGACAUCCAGGAAAGCACUACGAAAGUAGAGUGUGCCUUUUGGAAUCCUGUGACAGGUGAUGCAUGGCCGUCGUCAGCUCGUGUCGUGAGAUGUUUGGUUAAGUCCAUCAACGAGCGCAACCCUUGUGAAUAGUUGUAUUUUUCUAUUCAGACUGCCCCGGUAACGGGGAGGAAGGAGGGGAUGAUGUCAGGUCAGUAUUUCCCUUACGUCCUGGGCUAGAAACGCGCUACAAUGGCCGGUACAAUGCGCAGCUAAGUCGCGAGAUGGAGCAAAUCGCAUCAAAAACCGGUCCCAGUUCGGAUAAGAGGCUGAAACUCGCCUCUUUGAAGUCGG